ACGAACGCUGGCGGCGUGCUUAACACAUGCAAGUCGAACGGAAAGGCCCCUUUGGGGGUCCUCGAGUGGCGACCGGGUGAGUAACACGUGAGUAACCUGCCCUUGACUUCGGGAUAACUUCAGGAAACUGGGGCUAAUACCGGAUAGGAAUCCUUGCUGCAUGGUGGGGGUUGGAAAGCUUCGGCGGUUUUGGAUGGACUCGCGGCUUAUCAGCUUGUUGGUGGGGUAGUGGCUUACCAAGGCUUUGACGGGUAGCCGGCCUGAGAGGGCGACCGGCCACAUUGGGACUGAGAUACGGCCCAGACUCCUACGGGAGGCAGCAGUGGGGAAUAUUGCACAAUGGGCGGAAGCCUGAUGCAGCAACGCCGCGUGCGGGAUGACGGCCUUCGGGUUGUAAACCGCUUUCAGCAGGGGCGAAGCUUGUGGUGACGGUACCUGCAGAAGAAGCACCGGCUAACUACGUG
RNAcentral lists this ribosomal RNA (464 nucleotides) under uncultured bacterium. Its description in RNAcentral is "partial 16S ribosomal RNA". It matches the Rfam family "Bacterial small subunit ribosomal RNA", at positions 29 to 507 of the family's 1533-position model. The record is from RNAcentral.